AUUGAACGCUGGCGGCAGGCCUAACACAUGCAAGUCGAGCGGAUGAGUGGAGCUUGCUCCAUGAUUCAGCGGCGGACGGGUGAGUAAUGCCUAGGAAUCUGCCCUGGUAGUGGGGGACAACGUUUCGAAAGGAACGCUAAUACCGCAUACGUCCUACGGGAGAAAGCAGGGGACCUUCGGGCCUUGCGCUAUCAGAUGAGCCUAGGUCGGAUUAGCUAGUAGGUGAGGUAAUGGCUCACCUAGGCGACGAUCCGUAACUGGUCUGAGAGGAUGAUCAGUCACACUGGAACUGAGACACGGUCCAGACUCCUACGGAGGCAGCAGUGGGGAAUAUUGGACAAUGGGCGGCAAGGACCCUGGGUUCCCAAGCCAUGCCGCGUGAGUGAUGAAGGCC
Molecule: ribosomal RNA, 394 nt
Filed under: uncultured bacterium
Lineage: Bacteria
Description: bacterial SSU rRNA
Rfam family: Bacterial small subunit ribosomal RNA
Source: RNAcentral